UACAGAGGGUGCAAGCGUUAAUCGGAAUUACUGGGCGUAAAGCGUGCGUAGACGGUUAUGUAAGUCAGAUGUGAAAGCCCCGGGCUCAACCUGGGAAUUGCAUUUGAGACUGCAUAGCUAGGGUGCGGAAGAGGGAAGCGGAAUUUCGGGUGUAGCGGUGAAAUGCGCAGAUAUCCGAAGGAACACCGGUGGCGAAGGCGGCUUCCUGGACCGACACUGACGCUGAGGCGCGAAAGCUAGGGGAGCAAACGGG
Molecule: ribosomal RNA, 253 nt
Filed under: uncultured bacterium
Lineage: Bacteria
Description: partial 16S ribosomal RNA
Rfam family: Bacterial small subunit ribosomal RNA
Source: RNAcentral